Molecule: long non-coding RNA, 290 nt
Organism: Saccostrea cuccullata (small rock oyster)
Lineage: Eukaryota; Metazoa; Mollusca; Bivalvia; Ostreida; Ostreidae
Exons: 3
Source: RefSeq, a predicted model, not a curated record
AGAAUAUUGUUUAAUAUACUUCAUACUUAAUAGUGAAGUGGAUUUCGUUGAACUUUGGAGAUUUUCGAGGGGCUGUGUCUGUCAUUCUUGUACGUUACUGUCAAUGCAUUCUCAAGAAGGAAGAGAUUAAUGAACCCUACCCUCUUACAAUGAACAACACAUGGACACUCUCCGGAUGUUCCCUUUGCUUUUAUUAAGAGUUCCAAGAUGUUGGUCUGAUUGACUGGUGUGUGAAAUGUAACAGCCAAUGGUGUACUUAAGCCCGAACUGUCAGUCCCAAUAUUCAAGAG